UUUUAAAUCCCGGCUGAAGACUCACUACUUCAGUUUAGCACACCCUGACUAGAGCUGCUGAUUAACUGUACAGACUGCAUCUCUGUUGUUAGUCAUUAGCACUAAAACAUAAGUAACAUGAUAGUUAGGAUUGGAUACUAACCCUCACCUAUUCUGUUUCUCUUCUCGGUACUCAAAUGUGACACUUGGUGCCACGGCCCACCUGCCAAUUGUUUUGCCUGCCUAUGGUAAAGUCAUCCCUGAUGGAGGAUCACAGGAAUCGUGGGGUAGAGGGGUCCUUUCAUCGGAUUGGCUGGCCCAGCGCUGUUUCAGCUAUGGAAUGGCCAAAUGGGGGAGGCAGCUUGAGAGCUGAGGUCUCCAGGACUCUAAACAAAUCCAAAUCAUAUUAUGUGAUAUCAUCUACUGUUAAAUUCUGCUCCAUACUUCUAAAAUUUUUAUUUUUAUACUGUAUUGAGGAUUUGUUCUGUUCUG
Long non-coding RNA from Erpetoichthys calabaricus (reedfish), 471 nucleotides. RefSeq lists it as uncharacterized. The record is from RefSeq and is a predicted model, not a curated record. The transcript is spliced from 2 exons. NCBI's taxonomy places the organism in Eukaryota, Metazoa, Chordata, Cladistia, Polypteriformes, Polypteridae.